Long non-coding RNA from Juglans regia (Persian walnut), 719 nucleotides. RefSeq lists it as uncharacterized. The transcript has 2 exons. NCBI's taxonomy places the organism in Eukaryota, Viridiplantae, Streptophyta, Magnoliopsida, Fagales, Juglandaceae. The record is from RefSeq and is a predicted model, not a curated record.
GACAAGUCACACAGGCCAAGCAAACUUUUCAAUUCGGAGCGCACCGUAUAGUCCACACGUAGAUGGAACUAUGCGCCUGUGUUGGUGAAAGAGCGAGAAAAUCGAGGCCGCCGCCGUUCGACCUGAUAUCCGACCUCUACGAUCAUCGUCAUCAGCGCAUAUAAUCGGCGGAGCUAGGUUUUUUCGCAAUCAGAGGCAUCGGCUUAUUCACCUUCAGCUUUGCUCGAAAAGCAGGAAGUCACUUCGCGUGUUCAAGAUCUUCUGAGAUCUACCCCUUUCAUCGAUCCCGCCAAGGUGACUCUAACAGAAGUUUUUAGGAUGACUUGCAACUGGAUAUGUUGGAUAAUGUGCUACUUAUGGUAGCUGUGGAAGAAGAAUUUGCAGUUGACAUCCCGGAAAAUGAAGCCAACAAGAUUUCAACCACAGCUUAUCUCAUAGGCUACCUUGCAACCCCAUCCACAAGCCAAAUGGGAUUAUCUUUGUUGCCAGGUCAAAUCUUGUUGUCAAACAUAGGUAUGUUCUUGUCCAUCAAUAUGGUGUCCGUCGAUGAUAUUUAAUGACUUUGCCACAUUCCUAUGCUUCCUAAAAUCUGAGCACCGUGCUUUUAAAUUCAUAAUGAUGUUCUUAAAAGUCAAAUAUGGCGAUGCUGUUGUUUUCUAAACUGUUUGUGAUGUGAACUUGGAGUUUCCUCAAAUUAGUGAAUAAGUUGUGGUUCUUUA